This 493-nucleotide ribosomal RNA is filed under the name Enterobacter asburiae. Its description in RNAcentral is "partial 23S ribosomal RNA". It matches the Rfam family "Bacterial large subunit ribosomal RNA", at positions 1 to 534 of the family's 2925-position model. The record is from RNAcentral. Lineage: Bacteria; Pseudomonadati; Pseudomonadota; Gammaproteobacteria; Enterobacterales; Enterobacteriaceae.
GGUUAAGCGACUAAGCGUACACGGUGGAUGCCCUGGCAGUCAGAGGCGAUGAAGGACGUGCUAAUCUGCGAAAAGCGCCGGCGAGGUGAUAUGAACCUUUGACCCGGCGAUGUCCGAAUGGGGAAACCCAGUGUGAUUCGUCACACUAUCGUUAACUGAAUACAUAGGUUAACGAGGCGAACCGGGGGAACUGAAACAUCUAAGUACCCCGAGGAAAAGAAAUCAACCGAGAUUCCCCCAGUAGCGGCGAGCGAACGGGGAGCAGCCCAGAGUCUGAAUCAGCUUGUGUGUUAGUGGAACGGUCUGGAAAGUCCGGCGAUACAGGGUGACAGCCCCGUACACGAAAGCACACAGGCUGUGAACUCGAAGAGUAGGGCGGGACACGUGGUAUCCUGUCUGAAUAUGGGGGGACCAUCCUCCAAGGCUAAAUACUCCUGACUGACCGAUAGUGAACCAGUACCGUGAGGGAAAGGCGAAAAGAACCCCGGCGAGG